AUGUUGCGUACCGUGAGGGUCCAACGUGGCAAGAAUUGGAGCAAGUUUGGUGCUACUGAAAAGAAUCUUCGUCUGGCACUGAAUAGAAUUGCUCGUCUCAAGGCCACUAGGCCGACCAUAGAAAUGGUUGGCACUGACUUCCUUCGGGGAUGCAUCACGCCGGUGCAAAAGAGUCAGAGGCCUACUUGGGACUACAAGGGGGUUGGCGAUGUAAUGUGGCUGUACCCUGGACUCAGCAACAACUUGACGAUUAUGGAGCACGCCUGCCUCUACAAGCAGUUGUUCCGAAGGACCGACACAUUCCAUUUGCCGGACAGGAUCAUACCACUGCAUAUCAACUCUGCCAGAACCUCCAUUUUGGUGAACAUGCCGGAGUGUGACGCUAAUGGUGUCAAAGGAGAUUCGAAGUUGCCCUCUCUGGAGAUUGAGAUAGACUCCCGGAAAGAGAUAGAUCUCAAUCGGGCCACCAAGGAGGAAGAGCUGACGUACAUCACUAGCAAGGUUGAGGAGGCCGCAAGAAUUAAGUCUGCCGACGGUUCUAGUGCCAUGUCAGGCGAAAUGAUGAAGAAGAGCAUUCUGAUGAGGAAUCUGUCGAGGAGCAGGAGGAGGAGUCCGUCGGGAUGA
RNAcentral lists this ribosomal RNA (624 nucleotides) under Triticum aestivum (bread wheat). RNAcentral describes it as "partial small subunit ribosomal RNA". Lineage: Eukaryota; Viridiplantae; Streptophyta; Magnoliopsida; Poales; Poaceae. The record is from RNAcentral.